AGAGUUUGAUUCCUUGGCUCAGAAUUUGAACGCUGGCGGCAUUGCCUUACACAUUGCAAGUCGAACGGUAACAGGGUCUUCGGAACGCUGACGAGUGGCGAACGGGUGAGUAAUACAUCGGAACGUGCCCAGUCGUGGGGGAUAACUACUCGAAAGAGUAGCUAAUACCGCAUACGAUCUGAGGAUGAAAGCGGGGGACCUUCGGGCCUCGCGCGAUUGGAGCGGCCGAUGGCAGAUUAGGUAGUUGGUGGGAUAAAAGCUUACCAAGCCGACGAAUCUGUAGCUGGUCUGAGAGGACGACCAGCCACACUGGGACUGAAACACGGCCCAGACUCCUACGGGAGGCAGCAGUGGGGAAUUUGGACAAUGGGCGAAAGCCUGAUCCAGCAAUGCCGCGUGCAGGAUGAAAGGCUUUCGGGUUUGUAAACUGCUUUUUGUACGGAACGAAAAAGCUUUCUCCUAAUACGAGAAGGCCCAUGACGGUACCGUAAGAAAUAAGCACCGGCUAACUACGUGCCAGCAGCCGCGGUAAUACGUAGGGUGCGAGCGUUAAUCGGAAUUACUGGGGCGUAAAGCGUGCGCAGGCGGUUAUGUAAGACAGAUGUGAAAUCCCCCGGGCUCAACCUGGGAACUGCAUUUGUGACUGCAUGGCUAGAGUACGGUAGAAGGGGGGAUGGAAAUUCCGGGUUGUAGCAGUGAAAUGCGUAGAUUAUGCGGAGGAAACACCGAAUGGCGAAGGCAAUCUCCUGGACCUGUACUGACGCUCAUGCACGAAAGCGUGGGGAGCAAACAGGAUUAGUACCUGGUAGUCACGCCUAAC
RNAcentral lists this ribosomal RNA (820 nucleotides) under uncultured bacterium. RNAcentral's name for it is "bacterial SSU rRNA". It matches the Rfam family "Bacterial small subunit ribosomal RNA", at positions 8 to 805 of the family's 1533-position model. The record is from RNAcentral.